AGUGAACGCUGGCGGCAGGCCUAACACAUGCAAGUCGAGCGGCAGCGCGGGGCAACCUGGCGGCGAGCGGCGGACGGGUGAGGAAUGCAUCGGGAUCUACCCUGUCGUGGGGGACAACGUAGGGAAACUUACGCUAAUACCGCAUGAUCUGGAGACAGCAAAGCCGGGGACUUUCGGGCCUGGCGCGAUGGGAUGAAUCGAUGUCCGAUUAGCUAGUUGGCGGGUAAGAGCCCACCAAGGCGACGAUCGGUAGCUGGUCUGAGAGGACGACCAGCCACACUGGAACUGAGACACGGUCCAGACUCCUACGGGAGGCAGCAGUGGGGAAUAUUGGACAAUGGGGGCAACCCUGAUCCAGCCAUGCCGCGUGGGUGAAGAAGGCCUUCGGGUUGUAAAGCCCUUUUGUACGGGACGAAAAGCGUACGGUGAACAUCCGUGCGUGCUGACGGUACCGUAAGAAUAAGCACCGGCUAACUUCGUG
Molecule: ribosomal RNA, 481 nt
Filed under: uncultured bacterium
Lineage: Bacteria
Description: bacterial SSU rRNA
Rfam family: Bacterial small subunit ribosomal RNA
Source: RNAcentral